UACGUAGGGGGCAAGCGUUGUCCGGAUUUAUUGGGCGUAAAGAGCGUGUAGGCGGCCAGGUAGGUCUGCUGUGAAAACUCGAGGCUCAACCUCGAGAUGUCGGCGGAAACCAUCUGGCUAGAGUCCGGAAGAGGAGAGUGGAAUUCCCGGUGUAGCGGUGAAAUGCGCAGAUAUCGGGAAGAACACCCGUGGCGAAGGCGGCUCUCUGGGACGGUACUGACGCUGAGACGCGAAAGCGUGGGGAGCGAACAGG
RNAcentral lists this ribosomal RNA (253 nucleotides) under uncultured bacterium. RNAcentral's name for it is "partial 16S ribosomal RNA". It matches the Rfam family "Bacterial small subunit ribosomal RNA", at positions 524 to 776 of the family's 1533-position model. The record is from RNAcentral.